GAACCGUACAAACGUUAUUCGGAAUCACUGGGCUUAAAGGGUGCGUAGGCGGUCCGGCAAGUUGGGUGUGAAAUCCCUCGGCUCAACCGAGGAACUGCGCUCAAAACUGCCGGACUUGAGGGAGACAGAGGUGAGCGGAACUUAGGGUGGAGCGGUGAAAUGCGUUGAUAUCCUAAGGAACACCAGUUGCGAAAGCGGCUCACUGGGUCUCUUCUGACGCUCAGGCACGAAAGCUAGGGGAGCGAACGGGAUUAGAUACCCCGGGUAGUCCUAGCUGUAAACGAUGAGCACUGGGCUGGAGGCUCCCUCCAUAGGCUUCCCAGCCGAAGCGAAAGUGUUAAGUGCUCCGCCUGGGGAGUAUGGUCGCAAGGCUG
This 374-nucleotide ribosomal RNA is filed under the name uncultured organism. RNAcentral's name for it is "partial 16S ribosomal RNA". It matches the Rfam family "Bacterial small subunit ribosomal RNA", at positions 527 to 896 of the family's 1533-position model. The record is from RNAcentral.